GAUGAACGCUGGCGGCGUGCCUAAUACAUGCAAGUCGAGCGAACGGACGAGAAGCUUGCUUCUCUGAUGUUAGCGGCGGACGGGUGAGUAACACGUGGAUAACCUACCUAUAAGACUGGGAUAACUUCGGGAAACCGGAGCUAAUACCGGAUAAUAUUUUGAUCUGCAUGGUUCAAAAGUAAAAGACGGUCUUGCUGUCACUUAUAGAUGGAUCCGCGCUGCAUUAGCUAGUUGGUAAGGUAACGGCUUACCAAGGCAACGAUGCAUAGCCGACCUGAGAGGGUGAUCGGCCACACUGGAACUGAGACACGGUCCAGACUCCUACGGGAGGCAGCAGUAGGGAAUCUUCCGCAAUGGGCGAAAGCCUGACGGAGCAACGCCGCGUGAGUGAUGAAGGUCUUCGGAUCGUAAAACUCUGUUAUUAGGGAAGAACAUAUGUGUAAGUAACUGUGCACAUCUUGACGGUACCUAAUCAGAAAGCCACGGCUAACUACGUGCCAGCAGCCGCGGUGAUACGUAGGUGGCAAGCGUUAUCCGGAAUUAUUGGGCGUAAAGCGCGCGUAGGCGGUUUUUUAAGUCUGAUGUGAAAGCCCACGGCUCAACCGUGGAGGGUCAUUGGAAACUGGAAAACUUGAGUGCAGAAGAGGAAAGUGGAAUUCCAUGUGUAGCGGUGAAAUGCGCAGAGAUAUGGAGGAACACCAGUGGCGAAGGCGACUUUCUGGUCUGUAACUGACGCUGAUGUGCGAAAGCGUGGGGAUCAAACAGGAUUAGAUACCCUGGUAGUCCACGCCGUAAACGAUGAGUGCUAAGUGUUAGGGGGUUUCCGCCCCUUAGUGCUGCAGCUAACGCAUUAAGCACUCCGCCUGGGGAGUACGACCGCAAGGUUGAAACUCAAAGGAAUUGACGGGGACCCGCACAAGCGGUGGAGCAUGUGGUUUAAUUCGAAGCAACGCGAAGAACCUUACCAAAUCUUGACAUCCUUUGACAACUCUAGAGAUAGAGCCUUCCCCUUCGGGGGACAAAGUGACAGGUGGUGCAUGGUUGUCGUCAGCUCGUGUCGUGAGAUGUUGGGUUAAGUCCCGCAACGAGCGCAACCCUUAAGCUUAGUUGCCAUCAUUAAGUUGGGCACUCUAAGUUGACUGCCGGUGACAAACCGGAGGAAGGUGGGGAUGACGUCAAAUCAUCAUGCCCCUUAUGAUUUGGGCUACACACGUGCUACAAUGGACAAUACAAAGGGCAGCGAAACCGCGAGGUCAAGCAAAUCCCAUAAAGUUGUUCUCAGUUCGGAUUGUAGUCUGCAACUCGACUACAUGAAGCUGGAAUCGCUAGUAAUCGUAGAUCAGCAUGCUACGGUGAAUACGUUCCCGGGUCU
This 1372-nucleotide ribosomal RNA is filed under the name uncultured bacterium. Its description in RNAcentral is "bacterial SSU rRNA". It matches the Rfam family "Bacterial small subunit ribosomal RNA", at positions 28 to 1381 of the family's 1533-position model. The record is from RNAcentral.